GGGAAGUGAUGGAGGAGUUUUCAGCAGCCAUGUCAAAUCUAUCAAAAGUGCUUGCUGAGGUUCUAAUCAAUGAUCUCAGCAACCAAGAGGAAGCUCUAGAAGACAUUUGUGAGUCAAGCUCGUGCUUUCUUCGCUUGAAUCGCUACCCGGCUUGUCCAUUUUCACCAGAGAUGAUUGGUCUAGUGCCUCACACUGACAGUGAUUUCCUCACCAUUCUUUGCCAAGAUCAAGUAGGAGGACUUCAACUCAUGAAAGACUCCAAAUGGGUUGCUGUAAAACCAAAUCCAGACGCACUUAUCGUCAACAUUGGAGAUCUUUUUCAGGUAUAGUAAUCAUAAACACUAAAUUAAUACUCAGAUUCAUGGUCCGGCAACAUGAUCAUCUUGUUAUCUCCGAUAUUACUAUACAUAUAAGCACAACAUUGUGUCGUGAGCAGCAUGUGGCAUGCCUGGUGUGCAGUUAUCAGUUGGUUCAGCAUUAGAUCCUUAUUUAUUGGAGACAUUAACAUGCAGGCAUGUCAAUUCACACAUGUUUUGUAUUUGACCUUUGUGAUUAGUUAAAUAAUUCCUCUAGUUAAUUAUAUAUAUGCAGGCAUGGAGCAACGAUGUGUAUAAGAGUGUGGAACACAAGGUCCUGGCCAACGAGAAGACGGAACGAUAUUCCAUUGCAUACUUCCUGUGCCCAUCUUAUGAUUCUUUAAUAGGAAGCAGCAGCA
Molecule: long non-coding RNA, 715 nt
Filed under: Fragaria vesca (wild strawberry)
Lineage: Eukaryota; Viridiplantae; Streptophyta; Magnoliopsida; Rosales; Rosaceae
Description: long non-coding RNA (FVES_LNC002112)
Source: RNAcentral